GCAUGUGGGCUUGGGCAGCUCUUCCCAUGAGACUGGCAGAAGCUGAAGACUGCUCCAAGGUCUUGUGACAGAUGUCCAGCUAGUUCUAGGUAGGUUUGUGCAGUAGCAGAUGGUAUGGGCUGGCAUUCAGACCGUCCCCUGUGUCCCUCCGUGAGCUACUACGUCCUUGGGUGUCUUUUUCAUCUUCAGACUGCAGACACAUGUGGAUACCUGCCCCCAUGUUUGUGGUUAGGCAGGGUCUAAACAGAACUUCUUUGUUAUGUUUAAUACCAAACUGUUAGACACUCAGGUGCUGUUGGCAGAGGUGUGCUGAAUGCAGGAACAAGAUGGUUUCCACCUGAGUGCCUGCCUGAAAUUUGCUGAAGGUUAUGUGGCUGUUUUCCUGCACCUGAGACAGUAAUUUACUUUUUCCCUGAGUAUGAUCUCACCAUGCAGUCAGAACUCAUAAUGCCUGCAUGCUGUUUUACAGUGCUAUAAUGAGAUAGUGAUGCUGAAGACAUGCAUUUCUUUUGUCAUUAUGAACCCUAUGCAUAAUAUCACCUAUAGAAAUAUUUUUCCAAUUAUAUGAACCUUGCUAACACAUUGUGAUUUUAAUGCUGCUUUCACGAUACAGAGGAGAAAAUUAAACAACAAAAGACAACUCCCACUGAGAAGUCAGCCCAAGCAAAGCCAGCAAAGCAUGAAGCAGUCAGACCUGAAAAAGACGUUCCCCUUACAAAACCUGAGCCAACAGCUGAAAUCCCAACAUCAGCCACAAAAAAACCAAAGACAACUAAGGAAAAAGAAGAAAAACCAACUGAGAAGAAACAGCUGAAAGAUGAAAAAACUAAAGUAAAAGAAGAUCCACGACAUCAAAACUUGACAUCAGCUCCUGUCCGCUACUUUCAAUGUGUCUUCCUAAAUGGACCUAAUGGAUUUGGCCUGCAAUUUCCUAUUAAUCCCCCUUCAAACAAGGAAGAAAAGACUCACUCAAAGACUUCCAAGAGAAAGACAAGGAAACCGGGGCAGUAGAGAGACUGAGUCCAAUGAUCACUGACAUUUUGCACUUUAUCUUUUCUGCUGAGGUCCACAGUAGCUACAGUGGUACUUGUCAUUGCAAGAAUGUGAUCCGCUUGCACACAUGUACCUGGAAAAGGUUUCCAUGGGGCAAUGGCAGAACAAGCAGUAAUGAACUGUGCUUAACAAAGGUAGAAAUGUAACAGUGCCCAGUUUCUCAUGGAAAGGCUGCAAUGCUAACAAAGCAUUGAUGUGACUGUGUGUGUGAGCAUGUGCGUGUGUUUCCAUGCCUCUUUUGCUCUUGUUUUACUUUACCUACAUGCUCAGCAUUGAAGUGAGUCUGUUUUCCAUUUAAUCUUAUCUAAGGAGUGAAAGGUUGAAUGUAGCUCUUAUAUCAGCAAGAUUGCAAGACUAGCUGCAAUCCUAAACCAUUUCUUCUUAACGUUCAAUCAAAUUUCUGACAGGAAAAUGCCUCACUAAGUCAUGAAAAUGUGCUCUGUGACUGGUGCUAUUUUUAUGUCUCAUUGACCAGUGUAGCCUGAAGCUCACACUUACUUGGAGCAGCUCAAUACACUAUCAGUAAGUUGACUCCACAAGUCAUGCUAAUGAUGAAUUUUCUAUUUAGUCUGAAACUGUAAAAGCAUGGACUGUUUGCCCUGCCUGUUGGUAAAAUACAAGUUCUUCUCUUCCUAAGGCCCAAAGUGAGAAGAGAAAGUGAAACCACAUGUCAAAGGCUAGGAAAAUCACUGUUUUACCAACAUGAAGGUCUGAAGAAACAAAUGAAAUAAUUAUAGUGCUUCCACUUUUCUUCUGCAGCUAAAUCAGAUUGUUUUGCAGCAAAAACCAUGUAAAUGGAUAACAUACCACCCAACAAUUUGCUAUUAGCUUAAGCCAGAUGAAAAGCUAGGAUGUGAGAUGCCAUUCACAAAACUAAAGCAACUCAAAUUUCCAGUAAUUAUGUGAAUUUAAUGCUAUCUCAGAUCAGUGAACAACAGCAAAAAACAAAACCCCAACAAAGAAAGAAUCAGAAGAAAAUGAAACAUAAACACAUGAAAUAACCCAGGUAUCUCAUUUUACUAGAUGAAAUGAAUGGACUUCCUCACAGCACAAUACUGUAAAUGGCUUACAGUAGAACUGAAAGUAGAUGUGCUUGUCCUCAACCUUCUUUUGUGCAUUUAUGUAGAAAUAAAGGAUCUGUUGCCCUAAAAAAGAGACA
RNAcentral lists this long non-coding RNA (2212 nucleotides) under Parus major (Great Tit). RNAcentral's name for it is "lncRNA (ENSPMJG00000013754.1)". The record is from RNAcentral. Lineage: Eukaryota; Metazoa; Chordata; Aves; Passeriformes; Paridae.